GUUCAUCGUACGGAUGUGAAAGCCCCGGGGCUUAACCCCGGGUCUGCAUUCGAUACGGGCUAGCUAGAGUGUGGUAGGGGAGAUCGGAAUUCCUGGUGUAGCGGUGAAAUGCGCAGAUAUCAGGAGGAACACCGGUGGCGAAGGCGGAUCUCUGGGCCAUUACUGACGCUGAGGAGCGAAAGCGUGGGGAGCGAACAGGAUUAGAUACCCUGGUAGUCCACGCCGUAAACGUUGGGAACUAGGUGUUGGCGACAUUCCACGUCGUCGGUGCG
This 272-nucleotide ribosomal RNA is filed under the name Streptomyces globisporus. Its description in RNAcentral is "partial 16S ribosomal RNA". It matches the Rfam family "Bacterial small subunit ribosomal RNA", at positions 581 to 847 of the family's 1533-position model. Lineage: Bacteria; Bacillati; Actinomycetota; Actinomycetes; Kitasatosporales; Streptomycetaceae. The record is from RNAcentral.